Arabidopsis thaliana (thale cress) is the source of this 199-nucleotide non-coding RNA. The record is from RefSeq. Lineage: Eukaryota; Viridiplantae; Streptophyta; Magnoliopsida; Brassicales; Brassicaceae.
AAAUGUGCCGCCCAGUGACCUAAUUAUAUUCCGCCACGCCAUAGUUUGUUGCAAUUCGUAAUAACCACGUCGUCGUAUCUUCAUUAAGCAAACUUUACUUACUCUAUCUCUAAAGUUCAGGAGAUUUAUUUCUAAUAAUACAGAAGAUAACAUUGAAUAAUCAGAAAGUAAACAAAGAAACGAAUCUUUUGAUCUCUAC